CAAUAGCGUAUAUUAAAGUUGUUGCGGUUAAAAAGCUCGUAGUUGGAUUUCUGCUGAGAACGACCGGUCCGCCCUCUGGGUGUGUAUCUGGCUCUUUCUUGGCAUCUUCUUGGUGAACGUUGCUGCACUUGACUGUGUGGAGCGCUACCCAGGACUUUUACUUUGAGGAAAUUAGAGUGUUUCAAGCAGGCAUACGCCUUGAAUACAUUAGCAUGGAAUAAUAAGAUAGGACCUCGGUUCUAUUUUGUUGGUUUCUAGAGCUGAGGUAAUGAUUAAUAGGGAUAGUUGGGGGCAUUCGUAUUUAACUGUCAGAGGUGAAAUUCUUGGACUUGUUAAAGACGGACUACUGCGAAAGCAUUUGCCAAGGAUGUUUUCAUUGA
RNAcentral lists this ribosomal RNA (380 nucleotides) under uncultured eukaryote. RNAcentral describes it as "partial 18S ribosomal RNA". It matches the Rfam family "Eukaryotic small subunit ribosomal RNA", at positions 592 to 976 of the family's 1831-position model. The record is from RNAcentral.